RNAcentral lists this non-coding RNA (29 nucleotides) under Mus musculus (house mouse). Lineage: Eukaryota; Metazoa; Chordata; Mammalia; Rodentia; Muridae. The record is from RNAcentral.
UGCCUCUACUGUAUGAGUCCUGGGUUCUC